Molecule: non-coding RNA, 243 nt
Filed under: Anaerotignum neopropionicum
Lineage: Bacteria; Bacillati; Bacillota; Clostridia; Lachnospirales; Anaerotignaceae
Description: Clostridium neopropionicum T-box sequence
Rfam family: T-box leader
About the family: Uncharged tRNA acts as the effector for transcription antitermination of genes in the T-box leader family. T-boxes are found upstream of many aminoacyl-tRNA synthetase genes and some amino acid biosynthetic genes usually in Gram-positive bacteria. The anticodon of a specific tRNA base pairs to a specifier sequence within the T-box motif, and the NCCA acceptor tail of the tRNA base pairs to a conserved bulge in the T-box antiterminator hairpin.
Source: RNAcentral
GAAAACACAAUGAAGGAGACAGUAAAUAUUUUCAUUAUGACCGCAGAGAGGCGGGGGUUGGUGAAAUCCCGUCAUCAUAGAAAAUAUGGAAAAUCACUCCGGAGUGGCAGACCAAACGGCUUUUGGCCCAGUAGACUCUGUCGUUUGCCCGCGUUAAGGGCCGGCGUCAUUAUUGUGAUGCUUAGAGUGGAUGGCAGUUUUGCCGUCAAAUCAGGUGGUACCGCGAGCCCUUUCGUCCUGUGU